Molecule: unclassified non-coding RNA, 228 nt
Filed under: Hevea brasiliensis (rubber tree)
Lineage: Eukaryota; Viridiplantae; Streptophyta; Magnoliopsida; Malpighiales; Euphorbiaceae
Source: RNAcentral
UGGAGGGCCUGGAUCACCUGGAAUCCUUCUGAUGAACAAAAGUCUCUAUAAGUUGAAAUCUUCUCCUCCGUCAACUUGCGGGGGUGGCACUGUGAGCUAUGUCAAUGGUUUCAGUGAAAAGGACACACUGUAUAAUGAAGAGAUAGAAGAGAGGGAAAAUGGUGGAACACCACAGAUAAUAGGAAUAAUAAGAGCAGCUUUGGCUUUUUGGGUAAAAGAAUAUAUCAG